CUCGACAACAACAUUGACAUAAUUUGUUGCCAAUGUUGGGAACAUGCAAAAAAUGCUAAAUUUACAUGUGUUUGUAAAUUAGAUACAUUUAAUUUUAAUUGUAUGCUACUUUAUUUUCAACUGCACAACACAGUAAAAUAAAUAUAAACAGCAAAAUAAUCACUAAGCUAUUUCAAUCACUGUUAAUAUUAUUUGCUGUCCUUUAUCUGUAUUCUUCCCUUUCAUCAUCAUUAUUAUUUUAUACUUUAAUUUUACAUUCUAAAUUUAGAAUGCUAGCUAAUCAGAUUUUUCAUAUAAUUAUAUAAAUCCUAUUUAUCUACAUGAUAAUAUAUCUGAAAAUACUAAGCAGUUUGUGUGUCCUCAUUAUAUUUUAACUUAUGCAAACUCUUCCACAAACAUAUAUUGUACCUUGUCCAGACUGUUCACAAAAGGAAAUGAAGUAUAAUUUUAACUUUUCAUUGAAGAGUUUCUUUUUGCUCAAUCUUAUUACCACAAAGAAAAUUUUAAACAACAAAGUACAACUAACUAAAACUCAUGACACUGAAAACAUG
Molecule: long non-coding RNA, 551 nt
Filed under: Mytilus galloprovincialis (Mediterranean mussel)
Lineage: Eukaryota; Metazoa; Mollusca; Bivalvia; Mytilida; Mytilidae
Source: RNAcentral